GCAACAACAAUGAUGAGGUCUGCAUACAUGAUAAGUAGAUUGUACUUUUGUACUUGAAUGAAACUUCAUGUGGAAGCUGCAUGGAAACUCCACUGCAUUUUAAGUACACAAAAUUGUUAUCUUUAUGCUUUUUGUUUUGGCUUUUCUUUUGCAAAAUACUUUAGUAUAAGAAUUAUAUCAGUAAUAGGGUUACACAUGAUAAUGGGAAAUUGAAGUUUCGCCCUAUUUCCAAAAAAAAAAAGCAUAAAGAUAACAAUUUUGUGUAC
This 266-nucleotide unclassified non-coding RNA is filed under the name Hevea brasiliensis (rubber tree). Lineage: Eukaryota; Viridiplantae; Streptophyta; Magnoliopsida; Malpighiales; Euphorbiaceae. The record is from RNAcentral.